Non-coding RNA from Ictidomys tridecemlineatus (thirteen-lined ground squirrel), 72 nucleotides. The record is from Rfam. NCBI's taxonomy places the organism in Eukaryota, Metazoa, Chordata, Mammalia, Rodentia, Sciuridae.
UGGGUUGUGGCUUAGCGGUAAAGCGCUUGCCUAGCAUGUGCGAGGCGCUGGGUUCGAUCCUCAGCAUCACAU